This 31-nucleotide non-coding RNA is filed under the name Mus musculus (house mouse). The record is from RNAcentral. Lineage: Eukaryota; Metazoa; Chordata; Mammalia; Rodentia; Muridae.
UGUAAUUUUUCCCUAGGCAGAUGUGAGUGUA